Molecule: long non-coding RNA, 874 nt
Organism: Pundamilia nyererei
Lineage: Eukaryota; Metazoa; Chordata; Actinopteri; Cichliformes; Cichlidae
Exons: 2
Source: RefSeq, a predicted model, not a curated record
UCAGUCUGACCCAUACUCCGGAACAGUAGGAGGCGGUAAUGCUCCUUUACGUUGGUUGCCAACCGCCGUUAAACACAAGGAAGAAGAAGAAGGACACAUCUAAGACCUGCAGGACACCGGCCCUCGAGGCCUGGAGACAUUGCUAUGGCAGGAACGCCUCUUCGUUCCAGAGAAUGAAGUGUGUCUGCAAAUUCAGUGAAUGUGGAGGUGGUGAGGUUGAGACUAUCUGACCUGCUUUAGCUGCCUGACGUCCGGCUCCUCGACUUCAUGCUGACUUAUUUAGUGUCUGAUGCCUUCUCUGUUCUGUGUGGAGUCUUUGCAGCCACAUGUGGAAACAUCACGGUGUAUAUGGACAUUUUCUUUGAUUAAAAUAGUCCCGAUAAACCUGACUGAGCCUCAUGCGACAUGCAGUCAAACCUCAGUGGCCCUCGCAUUAACUAACACAACCCCAAAUCUGGCUGGUUUCCAUUUUCAGGACCACAACCGCUUUUAUUCAGCACAGCAUGGAAGCGUUGAAGAACUGAUGUUACAGCAGGGAGCCAUAUCUUCUCCUUUCAGCACUUAGGACGAGGGGAGAGACGAUCAUUAUGUGAUCAAAAUGGACUGUCAGUGGGAAGCAGCUCUAAGCUGGGAUUAGUCUGAUAGGACAAGAUGUGCCGCCGUACAAGAGCUCCCCUAAGAAAAACACUCUGUGUUAAAUUACAUUUUAAGAGUGAAAUAAAGCAUGCAUAUCAAAAGGCAUUUUAUUAUGUUAUGAGCAAUUUCUCAAAUGGAUCUUUAUUACUCUUUGACUCUGCUGACGGAGGUUGAACCCAGAUUCAGAGGAAUCGCACUCACUGUUAUUUCACACCAUAUUUAAACGCACAGUGUGAAC